ACCGUGCAAAGGUAGCAUAAUCAUUUGUUCUUUAAAUAAGGACUUGUAUGAAUGGCCCCACGAGGGUUUAACUGUCUCUUACUUCCAAUCAGUGAAAUUGACCUUCCCGUGAAGAGGCGGGAAUAAAAUAAUAAGACGAGAAGACCCUAUGGAGCUUCAAUUAAUUAGCCCAUAAUAACUCACUUAAAUACCAAUAGGCUUAAUAUCACUUUAUUAAUGGGUUAACAAUUUAGGUUGGGGUGACCUCGGAGAACAAAAAAACCUCCGAGUGAUUUAAGCACAGACAAACCAGUCAAAGUACUCUAUCAUUUAUUGAUCCAAUAACUUGAUCAACGGAACAAGUUACCCUAGGGAUAACAGCGCAAUCCUAUUUGAGAGUUCAUAUCAACAAUAGGGUUUACGACCUCGAUGUUGGAUCAGGACAUCCUAAUGGUGCAGCAGCUAUAAAGGUUCGUUUGUUCAACGAUUAAAGUCCUACGUGAUCUGAGUUCAGACCGG
This 498-nucleotide ribosomal RNA is filed under the name Meles meles (Eurasian badger). RNAcentral describes it as "partial large subunit ribosomal RNA". It matches the Rfam family "Bacterial large subunit ribosomal RNA", at positions 1945 to 2619 of the family's 2925-position model. Lineage: Eukaryota; Metazoa; Chordata; Mammalia; Carnivora; Mustelidae. The record is from RNAcentral.